GUCGUUCUGUUGAAAAAAAGGACUCCCUCAUCGAUCCUCUCCAUGCCGCCACCAAUCUCCUGUUCCCAGCGUGACACCCCCGACCUACUCAACGCCCUGCUCUACUCCAUGUGCCAUCUCCUCCACGCGCCGCCGGUGCCAGUUAAGCUUACUGUCGCUAACCCCACGUCUCCUUGAUCUUCUUUGGCAAUGAACCACUCUUCCUUGAAGAGAUUCCUGCAUCAAUCCUCGUGUAGAGAUGAGUUGAGCAAAUUUGAUCUGUCUCCUGCUAAGCUACACGAUCCAUGGUUGAUUUGUGUGUCUCUGUGCUCUCAAUCUUCGUGUCAUCUCUACAAAUUGAUUCGUCCAUCGCUGGAGUAUGCAGGUAGUAAGGUAAUAUCCAAUCCAGUAAGAAGCUCUUGCCCCAUCUCGAUUUUCUUGGUUGCGGCAGAGCAUUAGCCUAUCCUCAAUGGCCAUCACAUCAAAUAGAUAAGCAGGUUAAACUUGUGCGCAGCCAUUAGCUUUCCGACUAAUUUGCAUGCACUAGAUUUGCAAUUCCAUAUGAUGUCCACAAAACACAUCUUGGUCUGAGGUGUUUUUUUUUGGCUUUAGUUCCUUUCUACAAGUUGCUUUUCCUGCCGAUAUAUUGGUUUCUACAGGUUCCAGCUCAAGAAAAAAAAACUAUGAUUGUUCCGCCGGAUACAGAUGAGUGUGUCCAUGAGGAUGAGGCAAGCUAACUCGAGGAGCUCCUGCUGUAGGCCGUCGGGCUCCUGCUCAAUCCUCCAUACGUGAAGUAAUGACACCAUGCAGGUUCAAUCUAUACAACUUUAUGAACAUGUUAAUGCUAAAGCUGGGAGGUUUGGCUAUUGUUCUGCAUGCAUCUCUUUCAAUAUCUUGCUUUACUACUUUUUUUAUGAUGCAUUCAUGAGCAGUACAAUGACUUUUCUAUAGUGCGGAUUUUGCCUGAUUCACUUUGCCGGCUGUCUCAUCUGUUACCAGUGCAACACCGGAGCCCUAAAAUUCGUGGCAGUGAGAGCACAAAAUACAAGCACAAAAAACUAUCUCCGCCAAGACGAGAAGAUACAAGCCCUUACAGCCGUGUGAUAAUUAAACAACGUGGAGUAAUGCUGGCCAUAGUAUGCCAUUCCUUUUCACGGGCUAAUUGAAAGCACAAGAAGAAACAACAAUUUCUGAACAUCAAAAGUUGUUCCCAAUCUCUCUUUGUUCUUCUGCGGCCCCUAUGCCUGGUCAUUGUUCACAUUCAAAGUGAAUAGACCAUGUCUAUACAUAACAUGACCUGCUAUACUGAGUAGUACGCAUGCAUGGGGAUGGGAUCGUCAACGCCGGAGACCAUCAUCCUGUUGUGCUGUGCUAUCAAGGAGGGGCCAUGCAGAUUGAUUUUUUAGAUCAUUGCCGAGACAUAUUACGUAGAAAUUUGUGAUAGACCACUCCACAGAGUUCCCUCGCGGAGACACGAUCAUGGUCUUUGAUAAUUCUCCUCAGUCAAUCUAUCUAUUGUGGUUCCCGACUUGCAGACAAUGGAGAGGAGAAAAUUUCAACACCAAAGGAUACAGCAACACGAGCAACUGCGUCACUGGGAUUAUGAAUGUUGAGAUGUAUCGGAUGGGCUCCUGCAGUCCAGCGUAGUACCAGGUUCAUGUGAGAAAGUAGACACAGAUGUCCACAUCCUUUGAAGCCACGAUCAGGAUGUCCUUUUGGUUAGCUUCGGUUCCUACCACUUCUUAGUGAUUAGCUCCCUUUUGUCCAAAUUUAUCUAUGUUUGCUAAGGUGUUAGUUAAUUGAUAGCUUGAUGCUAACCCUUGAUGUGUUUCCAUCUAUGAUGGUUUUAAAAUCUGCACAUAAUAAAGCAUCCCCUGUAUCGGAACUUGCUGUUAUGGUCGAUGACUGUUCUAAUGGAAGCGCAGAAAGAAGCCUUUUGAUGCAAGAUAUGAAGAAUAUGAUGGCCAUGAAGGGGAGAAAAGCAGGGAAGUAAAACGUCCUCGAUUUCCAAUAGUUAAUUGUGAAAGCAUAUAUACUUUCAGCAAAGCGCAGGACCUAUGGCACGGUCCAUGAAGCGGUUGUUUGGCCAUUAUUUGUACAACAUACAGGCACAUACGCAAAUAGCAGUUAACGUGACACUGAGAAAAGAGUUCAUAUGAGAUGCUCAAUUCAGAUUUGAAUCAAUUUUAUCUGGUAGAUAUGCAAAAAGAUAAUUCUGCGAGGCAAGUACAACUGAUCGAGCAAAUGCAAACGCUUACAGACAAUAAAGGACAGUGUAUCAUGUCAGACACAGAAUAAAAGCGUGGUCUACAUUAUUUAUCAA
This is a long non-coding RNA of Triticum aestivum (bread wheat), 2302 nucleotides long. RefSeq lists it as uncharacterized. The transcript is spliced from 3 exons. The record is from RefSeq and is a predicted model, not a curated record. NCBI's taxonomy places the organism in Eukaryota, Viridiplantae, Streptophyta, Magnoliopsida, Poales, Poaceae.